GAUGAACGCUAGCGGCAGGCCUAACACAUGCAAGUCGAGGGGUAACAUUGGUUGCUUGCAACCAGAUGACGACCGGCGCACGGGUGCGUAACGCGUAUACAAUCUGCCUUUUGCUGAGGGAUAGCCCAGGGAAACUUGGAUUAAUACCUCAUUGUAUCAUUAAUUCGCAUGGAUAUAUGAUUAAAGGUUACGGCAAAAGAUGAGUAUGCGUCCUAUUAGCUAGAUGGUAAGGUAACGGCUUACCAUGGCAACGAUAGGUAGGGGCCCUGAGAGGGGGAUCCCCCACACUGGUACUGAGACACGGACCAGACUCCUACGGGAGGCAGCAGUGAGGAAUAUUGGACAAUGGGCGCAAGCCUGAUCCAGCCAUGCCGCGUGCAGGAAGACUGCCCUAUGGGUUGUAAACUGCUUUUAUACGGGAAGAAACCCACCUACGUGUAGGUGGCUGACGGUACCGUAAGAAUAAGGAUCGGCUAACUCCG
RNAcentral lists this ribosomal RNA (482 nucleotides) under uncultured Flavobacteriaceae bacterium. RNAcentral's name for it is "bacterial SSU rRNA". It matches the Rfam family "Bacterial small subunit ribosomal RNA", at positions 28 to 505 of the family's 1533-position model. The record is from RNAcentral. Lineage: Bacteria; Pseudomonadati; Bacteroidota; Flavobacteriia; Flavobacteriales; Flavobacteriaceae.